UACCUCUUUUUGUCCGUGUCUUAUGUAGACAGAUCAUGUGUUUUGUUUUAAAUUCAGACAAGAAACAGAAUUCUCUUAGUUUCUUCUUCUUCUUCUUCCUCGU
RNAcentral lists this small RNA (103 nucleotides) under Arabidopsis thaliana (thale cress). RNAcentral's name for it is "ATSL251900". Lineage: Eukaryota; Viridiplantae; Streptophyta; Magnoliopsida; Brassicales; Brassicaceae. The record is from RNAcentral.